UACCAGCACCCCGAGUGGUCGGGACGAUUAUUGGGCCUAAAGCAUCCGUAGCCGGUCCUGCAAGUCUUCCGUUAAAUCCAGCUGCUCAACAGAUGGGCUGCGGAGGAUACUACAGGGCUAGGAGGCGGGAGAGGCAAGCGGUACUUUAUGGGUAGGGGUAAAAUCCGUUGAUCCGUAGAAGACCACCAGUGGCGAAGGCGGCUUGCCAGAACGCGCUCGACGGUGAGGGAUGAAAGCUGGGGGAGCAAACCGG
This 253-nucleotide ribosomal RNA is filed under the name uncultured bacterium. RNAcentral's name for it is "partial 16S ribosomal RNA". It matches the Rfam family "Archaeal small subunit ribosomal RNA", at positions 474 to 727 of the family's 1478-position model. The record is from RNAcentral.